AAGAAUGGAACAAGAAAGAUACUAAGACAAUGUUGAAGAACGAGAGGAAGAAUGGAACAAGAAAGAGACUAAGACAAUGUUCAAGAACGAGAGGAAGAGAGGCUAGCGAGAAUUAGAACAACAAACGGCGAGGAUUUUGAAUGGUUUGGCCGCCUUACAUUUUCAAAUAUAAAUGAAGAAUUUGGAGCCCAGCUAGUCAGCAACAAACUAAAAGGAAGAAGAAGACAAUCAAAUGGUCAUCAAUUCUGUUCGCUUUACUUCGGUACAGGAAUAGCCUCACUUCUGCUAUACAAGAUAGCUGCAGAUUUCCCAAAGGUGCACAAGUUCACUAAGGUUUGGAAGAUUUUCAAGCUGAUGAAGAUUUGAAAGACCUACAAUGUCCUGCGUCUUGUUUGUUGAACCUAGACAUUUGCUCUGCUCAUUUUGGUGGUGGUUUGGCUGUGUGGCACACAUCUAGAAGCAUAUGUACAUCAUUUGUGGCACUACUUUAGUUUGGUUGUGGGGUAAACAUAUAUAUGUACUCCUUUCGUGGCACAACCUCUAUAUAUAUUGUCGUUAUGUUUAUCAAAUCAAGUUUAAGGUUUUCGAUGA
This is a non-coding RNA of Triticum urartu, 591 nucleotides long. NCBI's taxonomy places the organism in Eukaryota, Viridiplantae, Streptophyta, Magnoliopsida, Poales, Poaceae. The record is from RefSeq and is a predicted model, not a curated record.